This 231-nucleotide unclassified non-coding RNA is filed under the name fungal sp. RNAcentral describes it as "partial internal transcribed spacer region". The stretch from base 1 to 47 matches the Rfam family "Eukaryotic small subunit ribosomal RNA", at positions 1785 to 1831 of the family's 1831-position model. The record is from RNAcentral. Lineage: Eukaryota; Fungi.
AAAGUCGUAACAAGGUUUCCGUAGGUGAACCUGCGGAAGGAUCAUUAACAAAAAAGUAUAUGGAAGGGAAGUAGAGAAAGAAAAGGAGAAAUAAUAUAUAUACAUAUUUUUCCCUUUUUUUUCCUCUCUUCCUUUUUCGACACAUUGUGCACAAAAACAUAUUAAUACUAUAUAUUUAUAUUAUAACUAUAACAAAAAAUACAACUUUUAACAAUGGAUCUCUUGGCUCUU